RNAcentral lists this ribosomal RNA (468 nucleotides) under uncultured bacterium. Its description in RNAcentral is "partial 16S ribosomal RNA". It matches the Rfam family "Bacterial small subunit ribosomal RNA", at positions 28 to 507 of the family's 1533-position model. The record is from RNAcentral.
GACGAACGCUGGCGGCGUGCUUAACACAUGCAAGUCGAACGGAAAGGCCCUGCUUUUGUGGGGUGCUCGAGUGGCGAACGGGUGAGUAACACGUGAGUAACCUGCCCUUGACUUUGGGAUAACUUCAGGAAACUGGGGCUAAUACCGGAUAGGAGCUCCUGCUGCAUGGUGGGGGUUGGAAAGUUUCGGCGGUUGGGGAUGGACUCGCGGCUUAUCAGCUUGUUGGUGGGGUAGUGGCUUACCAAGGCUUUGACGGGUAGCCGGCCUGAGAGGGUGACCGGCCACAAUUGGACUUGGGUUCCGGCCAAACUCCUUAGGGGGGGAAGAGGUGGGAAUAUUGCACAAUGGGCGGAAGCCUGAUGCAGCAACGCCGCGUGCGGGAUGACGGCCUUCGGGUUGUAAACCGCUUUCGCCUGUGACGAAGCGUGAGUGACGGUAAUGGGUAAAGAAGCACCGGCUAACUACGUG